AUUAAUUUUGUUGCAGUUAAAAAGCUCGUAGUUGGAUUUCUUUUAUGUUAAAGGGUACGGAUGCAUGUUUCACUCUGUGAUUCACAUCUUCCUUUAAUAUGAAAUAUUUUGUGAUAUCUUGUAUUUAGAAGAUUCGUUUUAAUCAUUUAUUUGGUUAUUAUGGAGAUUCUAGUACAUUUUAAGGUAUUGCAUCGUUUACUGUGAAAAAAAUCAAAGCGUUCAAAGCAGGCUUUAUGCUCUCUGAAUGUCUCAGCAUGGAAUAAUAAAAUAGGUCUCAUCCUCAUUUUGUUGGUUUGCAAGGAAGAGAAAUGAUUAACAGGGACAGUUGGGGGUAUUCGUAUUAGAUUGUCAGAGGUGAAUUUCUUGGAUUUAUUUAAGACGAACAACUGCGAAAGCAUUUACCAAGGAUGUUUUCAUUAAUCAAGAACGAAAGUUUGGGGAUCGAAGAUGAUUAGAUACCAUCGUAGUCUAAACCAUAAACUAUGCCGACUCGGGAUUGUUAAUAGUUACUAAAUGACAUUAGCAGCACCGUACGCGAAAGCAUAAGUCUUUGGGUUCUGGGGGGAGUAUGGUCGCAAGGCUGAAACUUAAAGGAAUUGACGGAAGGGCACCAUCAGGCGUGGAGCCUGCGGCUCAAUUUGACCCAACUCGGGAAAACUUAGCAGGGCAGGACAAAAGUAGGAUUGACAGAUUGAGAGCUCUUUCUUGAUUCUUUGGAUGGUGGUGCAUGGCCGUUUUUAGUUGGUGGUGUGAAUUGUCUGGUUAAUUCCGUUAACGAACGAGACCUCAACCUACUAAAUAGUAGAACCAUUCUUACGGAUGGGGACUAACUUCUUAGAGGGACUUUUCGCUUUUAGCGGAAGGAAGUUUGAGGCAACAACAGGUCUGUGAUGCCCUUAGAUGUCCUGCGCCGCACGCGCGCUACAAUGAGCGGAUCAAUGGGCACUUCCUUAGUCGAAAGGCUUGGGUAAUCCUGAAAACCCGCUCGUGAUGGGGCUAGAUUAUUGCAAUUAUUAAUCUUCAACGAGGAAUGCCUAGUAAACGCAAGUCAUCAUCUUGCAUUGAAUACAUCCCUGCCCUUUGUACACACCGCCCGUCGCAUCUACCGAUGAAUUCUGCGGUGAAGUCUCGGGAACUUCUUUUGGUUUCUUUCUCCGGAAAAAAAACCUAGAGAGGUGAACUUGCCUAAACCUUAGCAUUUAGAGGAAGAU
Molecule: ribosomal RNA, 1211 nt
Filed under: metagenome
Description: SSU rRNA
Rfam family: Eukaryotic small subunit ribosomal RNA
Source: RNAcentral